GCUGUUAAGGGUUCGUAGUUGAAUUGGGGGUUGUUGAGUAAACGAUUGGAGGUUCACUCUUCGGGGUUCCCAACCAUCGCACUUGCAACUCGAGAACAUCAGAAACAACAGCACGGGAGUGCGCCUUCCUGAAAUCACGCAUGCAACGCGUGUUUUGUAAGGGGGCGCCCGUGAUAUUUCUGUGACAAAUGAAAGGUGACUAAAACAGUCAAGCGACAUGAAUUAGAAAGCAUGGGUAACAAAGGAGCAACCUACGGGCUUCCGUUUCGGCUUUUGUUGGUUUUAAAUGUCUGUGGGGAUUAUGGAAGCGUAAGCCCAGCUGUUCCGGACAACGUCCGACAGUCCUCUAGUUGUGCCCUUCGGUGCGCCCUCUAGACUUGCGUUUCCAGGAAUGAAGGAGGGUUGUUCGGGGGGAACGUACUUGAGCGUGAGAGGUGAAAUUCUUAGACCGCUCAAAGACGAACUACAGCGAGGCAUUCUUCAAGGCUACCUUCCUCAAUCAAGAACCGAAGUGUGGAGAUCGAAGAUGAUUGAUACCAUUGUAGUCC
This 548-nucleotide ribosomal RNA is filed under the name uncultured kinetoplastid. Its description in RNAcentral is "bacterial SSU rRNA". It matches the Rfam family "Eukaryotic small subunit ribosomal RNA", at positions 615 to 1026 of the family's 1831-position model. The record is from RNAcentral. Lineage: Eukaryota; Euglenozoa; Kinetoplastea.